AUAAAAAUAGUAUAAUUAAGUAUCCCAAGUUUCCACCUUGGGGGUUCCUGUUUGGGUUUUUAUA
This 64-nucleotide transfer RNA is filed under the name Eudiplozoon nipponicum. Its description in RNAcentral is "tRNA-Gly". Lineage: Eukaryota; Metazoa; Platyhelminthes; Monogenea; Mazocraeidea; Diplozoidae. The record is from RNAcentral.